This is a long non-coding RNA of Sander lucioperca (pikeperch), 1739 nucleotides long. RefSeq lists it as uncharacterized. Lineage: Eukaryota; Metazoa; Chordata; Actinopteri; Perciformes; Percidae. The transcript is spliced from 2 exons. The record is from RefSeq and is a predicted model, not a curated record.
ACAUUGCUAAGAAACUCAAAAUUCUAAGUUAGUACUCCAGUUUGCUAGCGCCGAUUUUGGUCGUUUUUUUUUUUUCCUAUCGACAGUAUUCGGACACAUCUAGCGAUCAAGAUUCAGGUAAAAAUCGGCCGGAUUUCUCCUUUAAGUCCUCGUAAACAGGACAAUAAAACAAAAAAGAAACCUCAUCCUCAGUUUCAGCUAACUCACACUUUGACCCUGCAGCCAGUAGUUUAACAACAAGGGCUGACACACUUCUUUUGCUGCCUGAGCAGGAGCUUUUAUUUAAUGUAGCAUGAAAACGGAAUUGAACUGAACAACCUGUCACUGUGCAUAUUCACCUGGAAUCCUACCUCCUGGCUGUACUCACGUAACCUGUCUUCCAGCUGUUCCCCAAAGAGAGGCGAAGUCCCUCCCCUUCAGGUGGAGCCACCGUCAGCCCCGACAAAACGUAGCAACACGUUUAAUUUAAAACUAAAACGGGGGUGCGUUAAACACCCUGGGUGCGCUUUGCCUUUUUAUUACGAGUUUAAAGACCCGUCUCUGUUGAUUGGGUAUCACCAAAACGAGAGACACACCCACCAAACGAGAGAAAACGUAUCUCUAAGCCGUUUCACACCAUUCCAAGGAAACAUGUCGUAGCAACACGGUGCACACUGUUUUGAGAUGGAACGUGCCCCUUAUUUCAUGAAGAAUAUGUGCAGUCAGUGAACGAGGAGUCAAAUCUUUUUUUAUUUGAUUCCGUUGAAUUGAGCCAUAAAUUACACAUAUGAUGUUUUGUCAAUUUUAAAAGCUCAUUUAGCAAGUCAAGAAAGUCUAGUUUGUCGUUAAACUGUUGAAGUAUUAUACUGUGAAAAUAGAAAUUAGAAAGACUACUCACCCUCAAGUCGCAUAAGUGACGUCUCUCUGAAACUGCGAUGCCUGAGUGUUUCGUACCAGGAUGUAACGUUACUUACACGAGCUACGGAUCUUGCACGUUCUUUCGCUUCUCGGCCAAUAAAACACAUCAGGUGAGAUAACUUUACAUGUGUUGUGGAACGUAGCUAAGCUAGCUAGCUAGCUAGCGAGCAAGCAGAGCACCAAGCAAGGUGACGUAAAUUGUGCGAGAUGAAAUACAGCACUGUAUGUAGUUGACUGAGCGGUUUCACACAAAAUUAAGUGGCACUACGACAAACCUGCGGCAAACUGAGACUUUCUUCAGUUCCAAAAUUAUUUUUUAAGGGGACGAACAUGUAUAAUGGUUACUGGUAACCAUGUGUAAUUCAUGGCUCAAUUUAAACAGGAUAAAAAAAAUAAUAUUUGUCUCUCCCCGUUCACUACUGAGCAUAUUUUUUUCUCCAAAAUAAAGUCCCAUGAGGUCCACCAGAAGAGGGAGGAACUUCGCGGCUCUAUUUCACCACAUUUGCCCUACAAGCCUUAUGAUGUAAUAUUAUUCAACUAUGUAUUAAUGUUUAAACACCAGUUUUGUGCAUGAAAAUUGUUGCUGUGUGUCUAAAGCUGAGUAACCAUGCUGUAGAUCUCUGACCACCCACUGUAGAUGUUACCUCACACAUCAGCAUUUCUUUCGAAAAGAAGGAAUGCUGUGCAGAAACAAGACAGGAGAUAAACAAUAUGAAACAACUAUUUCUGUGGAAGUAGUUAGAAGCUAAUGAGCGUCACGGUGUGUGUCUUAACACAGUGUGACUGGUGUUAGUUGUUCUGUCUUUAACCCUUGUGUAUUAAAAUCCUUCUUGAUCACAACA